RNAcentral lists this transfer RNA (83 nucleotides) under Planctomycetaceae bacterium. RNAcentral describes it as "tRNA-Ser". It matches the Rfam family "tRNA". Rfam says of the family: Transfer RNA (tRNA) molecules are approximately 80 nucleotides in length. Their secondary structure includes four short double-helical elements and three loops (D, anti-codon, and T loops). Lineage: Bacteria; Pseudomonadati; Planctomycetota; Planctomycetia; Planctomycetales; Planctomycetaceae. The record is from RNAcentral.
GGAGGGUAAGCGAAUGGCUAGCAGCCUCAUUGGAAAUGAGGUGUCCCCGAAAGGGAUUGCGGGUUCGACUCCCGUGCCCUCCG